AGACCGAUAGCGAACAAGUAGAGUGAUCGAAAGAUGAAAAGCACUUUGAAAAGAGAGUUAAACAGCACGUGAAAUUGUUGAAAGGGAAGCGCUUGCGACCAGACUCGCCCGCGGGGUUCAGCCGGCAUUCGUGCCGGUGUACUUCCCCGUGGGCGGGCCAGCGUCGGUUUGGGCGGCCGGUCAAAGGCCCCUGGAAUGUAGUGCCCUCCGGGGCACCUUAUAGCCAGGGGUGCAAUGCGGCCAGCCUGGACCGAGGAACGCGCUUCGGCACGGACGCUGGACAUAAUGGUCGUAAACGACCCGUCUUGAAACACGGACCAAG
Molecule: ribosomal RNA, 322 nt
Filed under: Aspergillus niger
Lineage: Eukaryota; Fungi; Ascomycota; Eurotiomycetes; Eurotiales; Aspergillaceae
Description: LSU rRNA
Rfam family: Eukaryotic large subunit ribosomal RNA
Source: RNAcentral